RNAcentral lists this ribosomal RNA (1184 nucleotides) under human gut metagenome. RNAcentral describes it as "bacterial SSU rRNA". It matches the Rfam family "Bacterial small subunit ribosomal RNA", at positions 29 to 1206 of the family's 1533-position model. The record is from RNAcentral.
AUGAACGCUAGCUACAGGCUUAACACAUGCAAGUCGAGGGGCAGCGCGGCGGAAGCUUGCUUCCGCUGGCGGCGACCGGCGCACGGGUGCGUAACGCGUAUCCAACUUGCCCUUGUCCCGGGGAUAGCCUCGCGAAAGCGAGAAUAAUACCCGGUGUAGCCACGGUUCCGCAUGGAAUUGUGGCGAUAGGUCCGCCGGACAAGGAUAGGGAUGCGUCCCAUUAGGCAGUAGGCGGGGUAACGGCCCACCUAACCGACGAUGGGUAGGGGUUCUGAGAGGAAGGUCCCCCACAUUGGAACUGAGACACGGUCCAAACUCCUACGGGAGGCAGCAGUGAGGAAUAUUGGUCAAUGGGCGCGAGCCUGAACCAGCCAAGUAGCGUGCAGGAAGACGGCCCUAUGGGUUGUAAACUGCUUUUGCAGGAGGAUAAUAUGUCCCACGUGUGGGAUAUUGCAGGUAUCCUGCGAAUAAGGACCGGCUAAUUCCGUGCCAGCAGCCGCGGUAAUACGGAAGGUCCGGGCGUUAUCCGGAUUUAUUGGGUUUAAAGGGAGCGUAGGCGGGAGAUCAAGUCAGUUGUGAAAAGCAGCCGCUCAACGGUUGUCGUGCAGUUGAUACUGGUUUUCUUGAGUGCGCGCGAGGAUGGUGGAAUUUGUGGUGUAGCGGUGAAAUGCUUAGAUAUCACAAAGAACUCCGAUUGCGAAGGCAGCUGUCCGGAGCGCAACUGACGCUGAGGCUCGAAGGUGCGGGUAUCAAACAGGAUUAGAUACCCUGGUAGUCCGCACGGUAAACGAUGGAUGCUAGUGGUCGGCGACAGACUGUCGGUCACCGAGCGAAAGCGUUAAGCAUCCCACCUGGGGAGUACGCCGGCAACGGUGAAACUCAAAGGAAUUGACGGGGGCCCGCACAAGCGGAGGAACAUGUGGUUUAAUUCGAUGAUACGCGAGGAACCUUACCCGGGCUUGAAUUGCAGCUGCAUGGAGCAGAGAUGUUCCUUCCCUUCGGGGCUGCUGUGAAGGUGCUGCAUGGUUGUCGUCAGCUCGUGCCGUGAGGUGUCGGCUUAAGUGCCAUAACGAGCGCAACCCUUUUCCCCGGUUGCCAUCAGGUAAUGCUGGGCACUCCGAGGAUACUGCCGCCGCAAGGCGUGAGGAAGGUGGGGAUGACGUCAAAUCAGCACGGCCCUUACG